Molecule: long non-coding RNA, 1017 nt
Organism: Panicum virgatum (switchgrass)
Lineage: Eukaryota; Viridiplantae; Streptophyta; Magnoliopsida; Poales; Poaceae
Exons: 4
Source: RefSeq, a predicted model, not a curated record
UUGCGAGGAAAAGGGCAUGUGAAGCUGAUGGUGGGAACUCCCAAGGGACCAAUGCUGCUAGUGGGAACUCCCAAGGGACCAAUGCUGAUGGUGGGAACUCCAGAAGGACCAAUGUUGGUGGGAACUCCCAAGGGACCAAUGCUGGUGGGAAUUCCCUAGGGACCAAUGCUGAUGGUGGCACUGCUAAUUCUCAAAGGGUUGGUGAUGAUCAGAGUAACAUACAAAUGAGCAAUGGUGGUUUUGAUGACUUGAAUGAUGGUGGAAGUGGCACAUUACAAGUUAUGGACCAACCUACAAAAAAAGCAAGAGGGAGAGGGAAAAAAUGAGACGCAAUUGAGAGUGCCUCCACCUAGUGGGAAGGUUAUGCUGAAGCCUCAGCGUAGCAAGCAAUUCACCUACGUGAACUACAACCCUAAAGACUACAAGUAUGGUUCACAGGUUGGAGCUCUUAUCAAACGGUUCUACCCUGGUAUGGUUAAUAUCCGUGAUGAGGAAGGCAAGAUCCUUGAAAAAAGGCAGCAAUGUCAUGGCAUUAUUAUUAUUGCAAAAAGGAUAUCACAAAUGUAACAUAUGCUAGGCUACUCAAGUGUGAAUUCUGGACUUUGUUCAAGGUAACCCGAGCUGAUGUGAGAAAAGCUGACAGAAAUUUGGAGACUUAUCUAGCAAAAAGAGUUUCUGAUUUGAUAUAUCAGGCUCGUUUGGAUGCUGUAAAGAUUCAUGAGGACUGUGAUGACAAUCAAGCACGUGCUAUACAUCUUACAUAAGAACAAUACAUAGCCAGCAAGCUAUGGUGGUGCGAUAAUGAUGCUUGGGUGUUUCUGUCGAAGUAUUGGACAUCUAAAGAGUACAAGAAAAAGAGGAAGGCUGCUCAAGCUUCACGCUUAAAGUCUGUAGAUGUUGCUCAGAACAGAGGGGGAUCGAGGCCAUGGGGAGAGACACAACAAUUGUUGGAAUAUAAGUUCGGCCCUGAGAAGGCCAGCACUUUUAACACAUAUGCUGUCAUGAAGUCUGGAUUCA